Molecule: ribosomal RNA, 253 nt
Filed under: uncultured bacterium
Lineage: Bacteria
Description: partial 16S ribosomal RNA
Rfam family: Bacterial small subunit ribosomal RNA
Source: RNAcentral
CACGUAGGGCGCGAGCGUUGUCCGGAAUUAUUGGGCGUAAAGAGCUCGUAGGCGGCCUGUUGCGUCCGCUGUGAAAGCCCGGGGCUUAACCCCGGGUCGGCAGUGGAUACGGGCAGGCUAGAGGUAGGUAGGGGAGAAUGGAAUUCCCGGUGUAGCGGUGAAAUGCGCAGAUAUCGGGAGGAACACCGGUGGCGAAGGCGGGUCUCUGGGCCGUAACUGACGCUGAGGAGCGAAAGCGUGGGGAGCGAACAGG